This is a non-coding RNA of Pseudonaja textilis, 814 nucleotides long. Lineage: Eukaryota; Metazoa; Chordata; Lepidosauria; Squamata; Elapidae. The record is from RefSeq and is a predicted model, not a curated record.
CAGCUUUUCCAAGACUGGAAGAUAUGCAGUGUGUAAGUCUGGGUCGAACUGUGGAGUCCUGGGGAACAUUCUGAACUUGGUUGUUGUUUUGCAGAUGUUUUAUUACCCAACUACCCUCUUUCUCUGAAAAUAAGACCUACCCCCAAAAUAAGCCCUAGCACGCUUUUUAUGCCUGUGCCUAAUAUAACCCUUACCCACAAAAUAAGCCCUGCUUAAGAGCCUGCGCGGCUGGCUGGCCACGCAUUCCAUCUGGUUGCUCGCGGUGCCAUGGCCACGAGGUGAGGCAGGGUAGUGAUGGAGCUGCCCUAUGCACCCAGCACCGGUUUACCUCAGAUACAUACACACCCCGCAGCCAGGCCACCCAUGCCCUGACAUCUGCCUCAUGCCAGCAGCACCAGUACUCAUGCGCAGCAAGACAUGGUGUGCUUGUUCCCCCAGCCAUGAGGCGAGGCAGGUGUCAGGGCACGGGUAGCCUGGCUGCAGGGGCCCUGAAGUAAACCUUGCAGGGCACAUGGGGCCGGUCCACCCUCUGCUUCACGGUGACGGCACUGGCAUACCACACUGCCUCCUGCCCCACUGCGAACGAGCAGAAGAAGUGGGCCUCCUGUACAUGGGGAAAAAAUAAGACCCCUCCCAAAAUAAGCCCUAGUGCUUAUUUUGCAGCCCAAAAUAAAAUAAGACCCAGUCUUAAUUUUGGGGAAACAUGGGUAAGUAACAUCACAAGGGCACUGAUGUAUGUAAGCAAGUCUGCACCCAACCUCAGAGCGCACCAAGGAGUCCCAGAAUGGUGCAAAAAGAAGAGCAACCUACUUGA